UACGUAGGGGGCUAGCGUUGUCCGGAAUCAUUGGGCGUAAAGCGCGCGUAGGCGGCCAGAUAAGUCCGGUGUGAAAGUCAAAGGCUCAACCUUUGAAUGCCGCUGGAAACUGUCUGGCUUGAGUCCGGAAGGGGCGAGUGGAAUUCCUGGUGUAGCGGUGAAAUGCGCAGAUAUCAGGAGGAACACCAGCGGCGAAGGCGGCGCUCUGGGCCGGUACUGACGCUGAGGAGCGAAAGCGUGGGGAGCAAACAGG
Molecule: ribosomal RNA, 253 nt
Filed under: uncultured bacterium
Lineage: Bacteria
Description: partial 16S ribosomal RNA
Rfam family: Bacterial small subunit ribosomal RNA
Source: RNAcentral